This 76-nucleotide transfer RNA is filed under the name Fidelibacterota bacterium. RNAcentral's name for it is "tRNA-Lys". It matches the Rfam family "tRNA". Rfam says of the family: Transfer RNA (tRNA) molecules are approximately 80 nucleotides in length. Their secondary structure includes four short double-helical elements and three loops (D, anti-codon, and T loops). The record is from RNAcentral. Lineage: Bacteria; Pseudomonadati; Fidelibacterota.
GGGUGCAUAGCUCAGCUGGUAGAGCAGGUAGCUUUUAACUAUCUGGUCGGGGGUUCGAAUCCCUCUGCACCCACCA